Molecule: unclassified non-coding RNA, 306 nt
Filed under: plant metagenome
Description: partial contains 5.8S ribosomal RNA, internal transcribed spacer 2, and large subunit ribosomal RNA
Rfam family: 5.8S ribosomal RNA (bases 1-105)
Source: RNAcentral
GAAAUGCGAUAAGUAAUGUGAAUUGCAGAAUUCAGUGAAUCAUCGAAUCUUUGAACGCACAUUGCGCCCUUUGGCAUUCCGAAGGGCAUGCCUGUUCGAGCGUCAUUACACCAAUCACGCCUGGCGUGGUAUUGGGCGACGGGGCCGUCACACGCCCCGCGCCCCAACGACCCCCCGGCGGGACGGACCGUAUCUCAGCGUUGUGCAUCACGUAUUCGCUGGCGAGACGGGACGGCCGAGCCGUUAAACGCCCCCCCUUCUUCAGGUUGACCUCGGAUCAGGUAGGGAUACCCGCUGAACUUAAGC